Molecule: ribosomal RNA, 520 nt
Filed under: uncultured bacterium gp4
Lineage: Bacteria
Description: bacterial SSU rRNA
Rfam family: Bacterial small subunit ribosomal RNA
Source: RNAcentral
UGGCGCACGGGUGAGUAACACGUAGGUAAUCUACCUUUGAGUGGGGAAUAACUUAGGGAAACUUAAGCUAAUACCGCAUAAUGCAAUAACAUCUAUGAUGUAUUUGUUAAAGGGGCAAUCCGCUUAAAGAGGAGCCUGCGGCAGAUUAGCUAGUUGGUAAGGUAAUGGCUUACCAAGGCUACGAUCUGUAACCGACCUGAGAGGGUGGUCGGUCACACUGACACUGAAUAACGGGUCAGACUCCUACGGGAGGCAGCAGUCGGGAAUUUUGGGCAAUGGGCGAAAGCCUGACCCAGCAACGCCGCGUGAAGGAUGAAGUCUUUCGGGAUGUAAACUUCGUAAGAAUGGGAAGAAUAAAUGACGGUACCAUUUGUAAGGUCCGGCUAACUACGUGCCAGCAGCCGCGGUAAUACGUAGGGACCAAGCGUUGUUCGGAUUUACUGGGCGUAAAGGGCGCGUAGGCGGCGUGACAAGUCAGUUGUGAAAUCUCCGAGCUUAACUCGGAACGGUCAACUGAUAC